This 232-nucleotide unclassified non-coding RNA is filed under the name uncultured fungus. Its description in RNAcentral is "sequence contains ITS1". The record is from RNAcentral. Lineage: Eukaryota; Fungi.
AAAAGUAAAGGGCCGCGGGGGCCGCCUAAAAACCCGAUAGCCAGAAGGCGCCAACCCCCGGAAGGGGGGAAGCGCCGGAACGGUGAACCCCUUGUGAAAAUCCCUUGUUGCUUCGGCAGCUCCUCCCCGCCCUCCCCGGGCGGUGAGGGUCAGCCUGCCGGCGGCACCACAGGAAACCACUUGCAAAAACCAGCACUUUUAAACGUCUGAGAGCGCAGUCGAAUGACACUUA